UUGCCUAAAGAGAAGUUUCCAGCAGGAGUCAUCAUUACGGCAAAUAAAAAGGGCUGGAUGGAUGAGGAAAUGAUGACUGAGUGGCUGAGGGAGGAGACCAGGUGGUUUUUUCCACGCAUCACCAUCGCUGUUGAUCUGUGACUAUGCGUGCCCAUCUCACAGCCGAUGUGAAAAAACAAGUGAAGCAAAUGAAUGCCGAGCUUGCUAACAUGCUAACAUGUUUGCUGGCACUGUUGUUCGAGCUUUCGUAAAAGCCGGCAUCAUAUCCAAGGAGCCACACGGCACGGAAAGUGACUCUGCCAGUGAAGAAAGUGAACCUGGCACGUCUGUUGGAGAUUUAGCGCUGCUGUUCAAUUCGGAAACAGAGGAUGAAGACUUCGAUGGGUUUAAUUGAUGACCAUUACCGGUAAUAAAAAUGUGAAUACCAAAUUCA
Long non-coding RNA from Syngnathus acus (greater pipefish), 433 nucleotides. RefSeq lists it as uncharacterized. The record is from RefSeq and is a predicted model, not a curated record. The transcript is spliced from 2 exons. NCBI's taxonomy places the organism in Eukaryota, Metazoa, Chordata, Actinopteri, Syngnathiformes, Syngnathidae.